This 589-nucleotide ribosomal RNA is filed under the name Meloidogyne enterolobii. Its description in RNAcentral is "LSU rRNA". It matches the Rfam family "Eukaryotic large subunit ribosomal RNA", at positions 463 to 957 of the family's 3401-position model. Lineage: Eukaryota; Metazoa; Nematoda; Chromadorea; Rhabditida; Meloidogynidae. The record is from RNAcentral.
AUCAUAAUUUUCUGUGAUGCAUUUGCUUGUUUGGUGCUUGGGGAUGUUUGAGGCAGAUUUGUAACCGCCGUUUUGAGGCCAGCUUGCUGGUACCCAAACAGCGUUAGCAUCUUUUGUCUUGGACAUUUGAGUAUGGUUUACGGGCAUUUAUUGGUUCGAUCUGAUUGUAAGUUACGGUCGCAUGCGACACGUGCUUUUCAUUUAGAUCGGUCCAGUUAAUGCUCUCGUACUCGCUCCCCAUGUAAAAGCCGGUCAUCUAUCCGACCCGUCUUGAAACACGGACCAAGGAGUUUAUCGUGUGCGCAAGUUUUUGGGUGUUAAAAACCUAAAAGCGAAAUGAAAGUAAAUGGCUCUUUAGAGUCUGACGUGCGAUCUUGUAAAAAAGGGCAGCAUGGCCCCAUUCUAACUGUUUACAGUAGGGUGGAGGAAGAGCGUACGCGGUGAGACCCGAAAGAUGGUGAACUAUUCCUGAGCAGGACGAAGCCAGAGGAAACUCUGGUGGAAGUCCGAAGCGGUUCUGACGUGCAAAUCGAUCGUCUGACUUGGGUAUAGGGGCGAAAGACUAAUCGAACCAUCUAGUAGCUGGUUC